Molecule: ribosomal RNA, 529 nt
Filed under: Symbiodinium sp. HN7.9
Lineage: Eukaryota; Dinophyceae; Suessiales; Symbiodiniaceae
Description: LSU rRNA
Rfam family: Eukaryotic large subunit ribosomal RNA
Source: RNAcentral
GAUUGACCCGCUGAAUUCAAGCAUAUAAGUAGGCGGAGGAAAAGGAACUAAACAGGAUUCCCUUAGUAAUGGCGAACGAACAGGGAUAAGCUCAGGUUGGAAACCAGGGCCCUGGUCCUGGGUUGUAGCCUGCAGACGUAGCGCUAUCGGCGGCUUGAGCGAAAGCCUCUUGGAACGGAGCGUGUGCCCAGGUGAGAAUCCUGUGUUUCGCUUGAAGUCCGCCGUGUACGGUGCUCGCUCUCAAAGUCACGCUCCUCGGAAUUGGAGCGUAAAUCAGGUGGUAGAUUUCAUCUAAAGCCAAAUACAGACCUGAGACCGAUAGUGAACAAGUACCAUGAGGGAAAGAUGAAAAGGACUUUGGAAAGAGUGUUAAAAGUGCUUGAAAUCGCUGAAAGGGAAGCGAAUGGAACCACAUGCUUGCUGAGAUUGCUGCCAAUGCUUGUGAGCCCUGGUCAUUAAAGCGCAGGCUUCUCGUCUAGGAGUGAGUUGGCAUUUGUAGAGCUUCUUAGCUUGCGCGUCACAUGCCACA